UGGUUCUGGCAUCGAUGAAGAACGCAGCGAAAUGCGAUAAGUAAUGUGAAUUGCAGAAUUCAGUGAAUCAUCGAAUCUUUGAACGCACAUUGCGCCUGCCAGCAUUCUGGCAGGCAUGCCUGUUCGAGCGUCAUUUCAACCCUCAAGCCCCUCCAGGCUUGGUGUUGGGGACCGGCCCCGCUCCGGCGGCCGGCCCCGAAAUCUAGUGGCGGCCUCGCUGUAGCAUCCUCUGCGUAGUAGAAACACCUCGCACUGGGACGCGGCGCGGCCACGCCGUAAAAACAGACGAAUACUUCUGAAGGUUGACCUCGGAUCAGGUAGGAAUACCCGCUGA
Molecule: unclassified non-coding RNA, 334 nt
Filed under: uncultured fungus
Lineage: Eukaryota; Fungi
Description: partial contains 5.8S ribosomal RNA and internal transcribed spacer 2
Rfam family: 5.8S ribosomal RNA (bases 1-133)
Source: RNAcentral